This 85-nucleotide unclassified non-coding RNA is filed under the name Frankia canadensis. The record is from RNAcentral. Lineage: Bacteria; Bacillati; Actinomycetota; Actinomycetes; Frankiales; Frankiaceae.
GGAAGCCGGCGGAAAUCCGGCACGGUCGCGCCGCUGUGACCGGACUCCGUCCGCCCUGAGCGGCGGUGGAGCCCGGAAGUCAGAC